RNAcentral lists this long non-coding RNA (360 nucleotides) under Triticum aestivum (bread wheat). Its description in RNAcentral is "long non-coding RNA (TAES_LNC009361)". Lineage: Eukaryota; Viridiplantae; Streptophyta; Magnoliopsida; Poales; Poaceae. The record is from RNAcentral.
AUAGAUCCAUGAGAGGGGUGAGCUCGUCCGUGCUUUUUUCUCUCAUGCCAUGUGCAGUCCGCCAUGGAUCCCAUGAGGUUGGGCUCAAGCACAAGAUUGAUGUUUCUUUUCUUGCCGUUUAUAUUGGAGCAGCGUGCAAAGGGCAGGACGACCGUGAUGCAAGCUCGUGCACCCGCUGCGUUACCAUGGUGUGCGACGGCGGAGACCGGUGCCGGCUGGGGCAGCGAUGCAGGAAACGGCACACCUCGUUGCUGGAACCGGCCGACUGGAAAGCUGCAACCGGCAUCCGUUGAUGCUGGAACCAGUAAUCAUUUUUGCUACCACAGGCGUUUGGUUUUGCUGGAACCACCGCCAAAUUUG